UCAGGCCUAACACAUGCAAGUCGAACGAGAAAGUUUCCUUCGGGAAGCGAGUAAAGUGGCGCACGGGCGCGUAACACGUAAAGAACCUACCCUACAGUCCGGGGACAACCACUAGAAAUGGUGGCUAAUUCCGGGUAAGCUCUAAGUAUCGUAAAGGUAUUAAGAGGAUAGUGGCCCUCUGAUCUAUGGUCACGAUGUUGGAUGGCUUUGCGGCCCAUCAGCUUGUUGGUGAGGUAAUGGCUCACCAAGGCUAUGACGGGUAGCUGGUCUGAGAGGACGAUCAGCCACACUGGGACUGGAACACGGCCCAGACUCCUACGGGAGGCAGCAGUGGGGAAUAUUGGACAAUGGGGGAAACCCUGAUCCAGCAAUACCGCGUGUGGGAAGAAGGCCCUUGGGUUGUAAACCACUGUCAUAAGGGAAGAAGGUGCUAUUGUUAAUAGCUUUAGUACUUGACGGUACCUUAAGAGGAAGCACCGGCUAACUCCGUGCCAGCAGCCGCGGUAAUACGGAGGGUGCAAGCGUUGUUCGGAUUUACUGGGCGUAAAGCGUGUCUAGGCGGGAAGAUAUGUCAGGUGUGAAAGACCUCGGCUCAACCGGGGAAAUGCGCCUGAAACUGUCUUUCUUGAGUGAUGGAGAGGUGGGCGGAAUUCCAUGUGUAGCAGUGAAAUGCGUAGAUAUAUGGAAGAACAUCCGAGGC
RNAcentral lists this ribosomal RNA (700 nucleotides) under uncultured bacterium. RNAcentral's name for it is "bacterial SSU rRNA". It matches the Rfam family "Bacterial small subunit ribosomal RNA", at positions 42 to 716 of the family's 1533-position model. The record is from RNAcentral.